ACCUUGGUAGCUUACACUUGAGAGCACAGCACUGAAGAUGCUGAGGAGGCGGAUACACUCGCCUCAGGGUA
Molecule: transfer RNA, 71 nt
Filed under: Cerithidea obtusa
Lineage: Eukaryota; Metazoa; Mollusca; Gastropoda; Potamididae
Description: tRNA-Phe
Rfam family: tRNA
About the family: Transfer RNA (tRNA) molecules are approximately 80 nucleotides in length. Their secondary structure includes four short double-helical elements and three loops (D, anti-codon, and T loops). Further hydrogen bonds mediate the characteristic L-shaped molecular structure. tRNAs have two regions of fundamental functional importance: the anti-codon, which is responsible for specific mRNA codon recognition, and the 3' end, to which the tRNAs corresponding amino acid is attached (by aminoacyl-tRNA synthetases). tRNAs cope with the degeneracy of the genetic code in two manners: having more than one tRNA (with a specific anti-codon) for a particular amino acid; and 'wobble' base-pairing, i.e. permitting non-standard base-pairing at the 3rd anti-codon position.
Source: RNAcentral